UGAUCAAAAUUGGGUUUGCCCUUAAAAAAACAAAAGGAGGGGGGAAAGAAUAGAAUAGAAUUUUCUAUCUUCACUCAUUUUGCGAUCUGGAUUUGCUGCAAACUCUAGUAAAGGCGCAAGUUCUCAAAUAUGAAGCAAAAAGGCCGUUUUUACUACAUGAGAUUAAGCAGGAUAUCCAACUCAAUCCCACACAUUAGGUUGUUUAUCUGCGAAAUGUGAGACCCGGUAAUUAAAGUGCAAGCCUGCUAUAAUGCUGGAUGAAACGUGGUACAUGAAUCCGGCCAAAUGGGCAGGGAUAGGAAUCCCGACCAGGCAGAAACGGAAGGGCUUCGACAUAACAAGCCUCCUUGUCGUCCUAAAGAAUCCUCGCCGGAGGUGCCAUUAACAUUGUUGCCGCCAGCCUGCUUCGCAUUCAGUUAGGCUGUUUGUGGUUAGCUUGGGAAUCCCUCGAGAUCUGCAGGUGAGUUAUGCUAAAACCCUUUGUUCCUUUCUUCGCUCGUUUGGUGCAAUUUUACCAAUCUUGUGCUAUAUACAGUCUAACGUUGUGAAAUCUUGGCUGUUAUAUACUGUAUAUCCCAUUCACACACUAAAUUGUAUGCAAAUGUUACAGGAAAUUUGCAAAAUAAUUUUCCCUUCAUUUCACUUUUUGUUGACAAUAGAACAAUGUUUUGUUGUUUGCAAAUUGUGUCAGCUAGAAAAUUUGUGGGAAGUAUUAGGAUGAGGAAUUCAAAGAGUUACAUUAGCUUUAAUUGUUUUACAACAAGUCAUGGACGAGAUUGCAGUCACUUUGACUAUAUUUACUUAUGUUAUAAAACACCUCACAUCCGAAAACCCUACUCAUGAUCGGUCUCUGCGUCCGAGAUACUUAAUCAAUACUAGGAUAUCGGACCAGGUUCUUCACCUGCAUAGGCUAGUUUCUAUUUCCGAUGAGUCUUGCCUACGUAAGAUACGUAUGGACCGUAACGCCUUCGGACGGCUGAGCUAUCUACUUGAGUACUCUGGAGGCAUUUUGCAAACCAAACAUCUUACUGUACCGGAGCAAGUUGUGAUUUUCCUUUGUGGUAGCCCACAAUAAAAAGAAUUGUGUGGUGAAGCAUAAUUUUCUACGUUCUGGCCACACAACUAGCAAACAUUUUCACCGUGUGCUAAAGUCAAUAAUUAAAUUGUACAAUGUCCUGCUAGCUCGGCCGACUCCGAUUACAGAGGAAUGCGUGGACCCCCGUUUGAGAUGGUUUAAGUGAUGUCUAAAGGCUUUAGAUGGCACGUUCAUUGAUAUACGAGUACCCAAACAUGAAAAGGGACGGUACCAAACACGCAAAGGUCAAGUGGCCGUGAACGUACUUGGGGUGUGCAAUCCCAACAUCAAUUCAUAUACGUCCUUACCGACUGGGAGGGGAACGCAACUGAUAGCCGUGUUUUACGUGAUGCCUUCAACAGACCAGGUGGUCUAAGAGUUCCUAAAGGCAAUUACUACUUAUGUGACGAUGACUAUGCAAAUGCCGAAGGCUUCUUGACUCCGUACAGAGGUGUUCGCUACCAUCUAAGAGAAUGGGACACUAGUACCAGCGUGCUGCAGAACCAUUAGGAGUUUUUCAACCUCAAACACUCUUCUGCGUGUAACGUAUUGAGCAUACAUUUGGUCUACUUAAAAUGCGGUGGGGUAUUUUAAGGAGUCAAUCGUUCUACCCCAUUAAGGUGCAAAAUCGGAUAAUCUUGGCUUGUUGUGUGUUGCACAAUUUUUUGAGGACUGAAAUACCUGAUGAUCCGCUAGAAAAUGAGUUACCGAGUCAUGGAGAUGCUGGGACGGAUGAUGAGGUUGACUGUGUGUGGAAUAUCCCUCAUGGUCCACUUGGAGAGAUACAAUGGCCACAUCCAUGUACAAUGAGUGGAUGACUCGCCUGUGAUGUCACAUGCGACUCAACAACCUAUAUCUUGACCUCGUUGCUUAGGGUCAUAAGUCUAAUGAUGCGCGUGAGAUGUAUUAUUUCGACGGUUAAUUGUAAUCAUUGUUAUGUUAGCCUCUUAUGUGUUUUGUGUGAAGACUUUGUGUGAUUCUUGAAUUUUCCAUAUGUUUUACAAUCACUCAUUUCAAUUGCUGCUAUGUUGAAGUGCUAUUGUUGCAGACGACAUUACUAUGAUCCCCUUUGUACAAUUACAAUGUUUUUUUGUUUGACGUCAUGCUGUGCACAAUAUUUACAUCGUUGGUACAGGUUGUGUCCUGGUCAAUCAGACAUUUGUAUUUACCUAUUUAACCAACACAUAUAUUUUUUGGUGCAGGUUUCACCCAGGUAAGCCGAUCGAUCGUCCCUUGAAAGAUGGAGCUCGGAUCUGAUGAGGGUAGCAGUAGGCCGCGUCGGUGGGGAGGGAACAAAGAUAGAGCUUCUAGUCGUUAAACGUGGACGGUUCUGGAAGUGGAAUGUCUUAUAGCAGGCCUUAAAAAUUUGGUUGUAACUGGUUGGAAAUGUGACAUGGCUUUAGGAAUGGUUAUCUUGCACAAUUAGAGACGCAUAUGGCCAAGAAUUUUCCACAAUCUGAUAUUAAAGCCGAACCACAUAUUACUUCUAAAUUACAUGUCUGGAAGAAGCACUACAUGAUGCUGACCACUAUGCUGAUGAAGUCGGGAUUGGGUUGGGAUGAGAGCCGAAAUAUAGUAACGGUGGAAGACGAUAAUGCUUGAGAUGAUUACGUGAAGAUGGAUCCUAAUGCAAAGAGGAUGCGUUAUAAGACAUGGCCUAUUUUAAGCGCAUGGAGAGAAAUCUUUGGGAAGGACCGUGCGACAGGGGAGCGUAGUGCGGACCCUUAUAAGGAUGCAAAUGCCAUUAGAAAUGAGGAAAUGGCCGACACGCAAGAUUGUUAUGUGCCCAACGCUGAAUGGAAUCCAGACAUAGAUUUUGUUGGGCUGAAGGAGGAGCCGACGUCCUCGUUCAAUGCGAACGUCGAUCCCACUGGAACUCAUCUAGUGCACUUCAAGGAAACGCAAGAUAAGCGAUACCCGUGGAGGCAUCCCAAAGUUGGUUGAAAUAGUGUCUACCUUUUGUGAGUCAGCGAACACACGCUUGGGAACAUUGACUAGGGUGCUUGAGAAUGAAUUUGGAGACUCUGAACAUCGCGUGUUGAUCCUGUAGCAAGUUAGAGAUUUGGAAGCAUUUGAUGAAAAUGAACGCUUGAUGGUUGCAAAUAGGUUGGUUAAGAACCCAAACAAAAUAAAGCUUUUUCUGGGUUUGACAAAGAAUUCUCGGGUGAAGAUGGUGCAGCUAAUGCUUGCCAGUAAGAUUUAAUGAGCAAUCGUCCCGACUUGAUCCCUUACCUGAAAUUAUUAAUAGUAUUUGCUAAAUAUCACCGGACCGCUAUGCACAAAUAUUGCACCCACCUAACCAUGAUUUGGUAUCAGGAAUUUUUUUUGGUGUAAUGUUGUGUACUGAACAAGCUGUGCGAAGUGCUGCUUUUCAUACUGGUCAGUUAUGUAUUCAUUAACUUUAUUA
Sesamum indicum (sesame) is the source of this 3482-nucleotide non-coding RNA. The record is from RefSeq and is a predicted model, not a curated record. NCBI's taxonomy places the organism in Eukaryota, Viridiplantae, Streptophyta, Magnoliopsida, Lamiales, Pedaliaceae.